AGACAGUACACCUCUUCAGUGCCUGGAUGCUGGGCAGAGAGCUCCCACCACUCUGACCUUGCUUCCUUUGCUGCUAGAUCUGGCCAUGUGAUUAAGUCCUGGUGAAUGAAAUACAAGCAGAAGUGAUACGUGUGUUUUUAGGGAAGCGUUUUUAAGGAAAGCAGCCAUGACCUUCUCUCUUCUCCCUUCUUACUGACUGGAAUUGGGAUAUAAUGGCUGGAGCUUGAGCAGCCAUAAGAAUUAAAAGAGAGAAGUCCUGAUGAUGGAGUUUACGAUGGUUGAUGUUUUAGAAGCACAGAUUAGAAACAAUUUAUGUCUUUGAAAGUAACAACGAAACUUAUUUUCUCACAUUUAAACGGAAUUCGUAGCUCUUUGAACAUAUUCCGAUGUUAACUCUGAAUUCAAUUGUACUGUUGACUGGUCAAUGUUAACUCUGAAUUCAAUUGUACUGUUGACCCGUCUUUGAGAAGGAGUGUUAGUUACAGUACAAAGAGCAUGGACUGCUGAACCAGACUGACCUAGAUAGGAAACUCUGUCAUGCCACUUGUCAGCUAUGGGCUGUUGUCCAAAUCAUUUAGUCUCUGUGGGUCAGUUUUCUUAUGCCUAAAACUGGAAUACUUGUUUCUGACACCGGAUUGUUGUAAACUUAAAUGAAAUAAAUAUCUAAUAUGCCUCAUAUU
Hippopotamus amphibius kiboko is the source of this 680-nucleotide long non-coding RNA. RefSeq lists it as uncharacterized. Lineage: Eukaryota; Metazoa; Chordata; Mammalia; Artiodactyla; Hippopotamidae. The record is from RefSeq and is a predicted model, not a curated record. The transcript has 3 exons.